UACGGAGGAUCCGAGCGUUAUCCGGAUUUAUUGGGUUUAAAGGGAGCGUAGGUGGAUUGUUAAGUCAGUUGUGAAAGUUUGCGGCCCAACCGUAAAAUUGCAGUUGAAACUGGCAGUCUUGAGUACAGUAGAGGUGGGCGGAAUUCGUGGUGUAGCGGUGAAAUGCUUAGAUAUCACGAAGAACUCCGAUUGCGAAGGCAGCUCACUGGACUGCAACUGACACUGAGGCUCGAAAGUGUGGGUAUCAAACAGG
This 253-nucleotide ribosomal RNA is filed under the name uncultured bacterium. RNAcentral describes it as "partial 16S ribosomal RNA". It matches the Rfam family "Bacterial small subunit ribosomal RNA", at positions 524 to 776 of the family's 1533-position model. The record is from RNAcentral.